This 400-nucleotide long non-coding RNA is filed under the name Homo sapiens (human). Its description in RNAcentral is "non-protein coding lnc-DEFB133-1:1". The record is from RNAcentral. Lineage: Eukaryota; Metazoa; Chordata; Mammalia; Primates; Hominidae.
UUGACUCACAGAAAACCAUAUGUUCACAUCUCUUUCAACUUUGUGGUCAGCAAAUUCAUGUUGAUAGCUUGAAAUUAGCCGUGUUAGGAGUAUUUACACCACAGAAAUUAAAGACUGCUACAAACCAGAUUUUUUUUUCUCUGAGAGCAGGUUAAUGAUUUAUAAAUUUUUCUCUUUGAGUCUCAAUUUCCUCAACUGGAAAAAUAAGGAUAAUAGUUUUUAUACAUUUUUAUUUUGUUAUUGAAGAUUAAAUAGCCUGGUAUAUGUAUAUAAAGAAAUUCCUGGCUCUUUUCAUUUUUCUGUAUAUACUCUCUAUCUCACGGGUGACUGUUUGAGCUAGAGGUAUGUGAUGCUAUAUAGCAGAAAGAGCACUCUAUUAUGCUAUUAUCUUGCUCCUAUG